AACGGUUCCGUAUAUCUGUUGUAACCGAUCGUGGCAAGUUGGGCGUGGAUACCGACUGGAACAGCUAUGUGUUAACACAGCUGAAUGGGGCUCACUAUACCUCCUUUCGAACGGCUCCAUAAAUCUUCGAACGGCUCCGUAUAUCUGUUGUCACCAAUCGUGGUAAAUACGGCGUGGAUAGAGCACGGAAAAGCUGUGUAUAACACAGACCAGUGGGGUCACCGCUGCCCGUUGGCAUGGGCAGUGGGGGUAAGUGGGCUCAUAACCAUGGGCCUCACCUCAUCAACGGCUCUCAAAGUACCUCUGGGACUAAACAUCCCGGGCGAAACAGAGGCCUYUGCUACCAGACACAGUUACCGAGCGCCCUGCGGGGUUGGUCUUGUCUGGGUACCCGGCAGAGCCCAUCCACAAGCGCACGAUGGACUUCAGACCUAUCAGCUAGACKGUAGGGUAUUGGCCUACCGUGGCUAUGACGGGUACAGAGGAUUAGGGUUUGAUCCUGGAGAGGUAGCCUGAGAAAUCGCUCCCACUUCUGAGGAAGGCAGCAGGCGCG
This 553-nucleotide ribosomal RNA is filed under the name Lycogala sp. Its description in RNAcentral is "partial small subunit ribosomal RNA". Lineage: Eukaryota; Evosea; Eumycetozoa; Liceales; Enteridiidae. The record is from RNAcentral.